UAGUUUGAUCCUGGCUCAGGACGAACGCUGGCGGCGCGCUUAACACAUGCAAGUCGAGCGAGAACCGGGGCUUCGGCCCCGGGGACAGCGGCGAACGGGUGAGUAACACGUGGGUAACCUACCCUCGGCACCGGGAUAGCCCGGGGAAACUCGGAUUAAUACCGGAUGGCCCCUCCGACCUUCGGGUCGAUCGGGAAAGGUAGCUUCGGCCUCCGGCCGAGGAUGGGCCCGCGGCGGAUUAGCUUGUUGGUGGGGUAACGGCCCACCAAGGCUCCGAUCCGUAGCUGGUCUGAGAGGACGAUCAGCCACACUGGGACUGAGACACGGCCCAGACUCCUACGGGAGGCAGCAGUGGGGAAUCUUGCGCAAUGGGCGAAAGCCUGACGCAGCGACGCCGCGUGAGGGAAGAAGGCCUUCGGGUUGUAAACCUCUUUCAGGAGGGACGAAGCUACUCGGGUUAAUAGCCCAGAGGGUGACGGUACCUCCAGAAGAAGCCCCGGCUAACUACGUGCCAGCAGCCGCGGUAAUACGUAGGGGGCAAGCGUUGUCCGGAUUUACUGGGCGUAAAGCGCGUGUAGGCGGCCGAGCAGGUCUGUUGUGAAAACUGGAGGCUCAACCUCUAGACGUCGACAGAAACCGCGCGGCUAGAGUCCGGAAGAGGAGAGUGGAAUUCCUGGUGUAGCGGUGAAAUGCGC
RNAcentral lists this ribosomal RNA (695 nucleotides) under uncultured bacterium. RNAcentral's name for it is "bacterial SSU rRNA". It matches the Rfam family "Bacterial small subunit ribosomal RNA", at positions 9 to 691 of the family's 1533-position model. The record is from RNAcentral.